Molecule: long non-coding RNA, 700 nt
Organism: Camellia sinensis
Lineage: Eukaryota; Viridiplantae; Streptophyta; Magnoliopsida; Ericales; Theaceae
Source: RefSeq, a predicted model, not a curated record
UGAUAGUACACAUAUUUUACACAGUGAAUGCAAGAUUUGUGCCCCUUAGAGGCCAACUAAUACGAUUUAUUUAUCAUUAUAAAAAAUAAAUAAAUAAUGGCCAUCAUCACGCUGUGCUAUCAACAAUAUAUGAGUUCUCUGAUGGCCUACACCCUUAAAAUUUGCUGAAAUGAAAUGAAUUCAGGUUGCGUUUGUUUCAGGCCAUAAAGGAAUUCAAGAAGGGCAAAGCUGAAUACAGAGCAGAUAAAACUGGGAUCGUUCACUUACCCUUUGGAAAGUCAGAUUUUUCUGAAGAAGAUCUUCUUGUGAACUUGCUUGCUGCAGUAAAAUCAGUAGAAACAAACAAGCCAUCUGGUGCAAAAGGGGUAUACUGGAAAAGUGCACAUAUAUGCUCAUCAAUGGGGCUUUCCAUUCAGUUAAAUAUAAGGGAAAUGCUUGAUUUCAAGCAUGCGACUUUGAAUGUUCAAGGAAAUAACACAUGUAAAUUAUAUCUUCUAAACUAUUCAGGUAGCUUCUUGGUUUCCUCCACAGGGACUUGUGAAAGUUUGAAAAGGGUAGGACACAAGCUGAGUUGAAUAUGAUAGGGAGGUAUUCAGAUUCAUGUUUGCAUUUACAAAGAGCAUUGCAUUGGCUGCUGUAUGCUAGUUGUAUCAAAAUCUUGUAUUGGUAUCAUGAACUUUUUUUUAUGUAUUUUAUUUUA